RNAcentral lists this small RNA (80 nucleotides) under Kaistella chaponensis. Its description in RNAcentral is "Chryseobacterium chaponense Flavo-1 RNA". It matches the Rfam family "Flavo-1 RNA". The record is from RNAcentral. Lineage: Bacteria; Pseudomonadati; Bacteroidota; Flavobacteriia; Flavobacteriales; Weeksellaceae.
UUUUAGCCCUGAUUGUAAUGGAAAUCCCGCAGUGACGACGAAGGAGGAGCGAGGAAUUGGAAUGAAAAGCGGGACAAGGU